CUAAUACCGGAUAAUAUCUUUUUAUACAUAUAAUAAGAUUGAAAGAUGGUUCUGCUAUCACUUACAGAUGGGCCCGCGGCGCAUUAGCUAGUUGGUGAGGUAACGGCUCACCAAGGCAACGAUGCGUAGCCGACCUGAGAGGGUGAUCGGCCACACUGGGACUGAGACACGGCCCAGACUCCUACGGGAGGCAGCAGUAGGGAAUCUUCCGCAAUGGACGAAAGUCUGACGGAGCAACGCCGCGUGAGUGAUGAAGGUUUUCGGAUCGUAAAACUCUGUUGUUAGGGAAGAACAAGUAUCGGAGUAACUGCCGGUACCUUGACGGUACCUAACCAGAAAGCCACGGCUAACUACGUGCCAGCAGCCGCGGUAAUACGUAGGUGGCAAGCGUUGUCCGGAAUUAUUGGGCGUAAAGCGCGCGCAGGUGGUUCUUUAAGUCUGAUGUGAAAGCCCACGGCUCAACCGUGGAGGGUCAUUGGAAACUGGGGAACUUGAGUGCAGAAGAGGAAAGUGGAAUUCCAAGUGUAGCGGUGAAAUGCGUAGAGAUUUGGAGGAACACCAGUGGCGAAGGCGACUUUCUGGUCUGUAACUGACACUGAGGCGCGAAA
RNAcentral lists this ribosomal RNA (608 nucleotides) under Bacillus sp. BAC89. RNAcentral's name for it is "bacterial SSU rRNA". It matches the Rfam family "Bacterial small subunit ribosomal RNA", at positions 163 to 758 of the family's 1533-position model. Lineage: Bacteria; Bacillati; Bacillota; Bacilli; Caryophanales; Bacillaceae. The record is from RNAcentral.